GGUGAGAUGUCCGAGAGGCUGAAGGAGCAUGCUUGGAAAGCGUGUUUACACUAACGUGUAUCGAGGGUUCAAAUCCCUCUCUCACCG
RNAcentral lists this transfer RNA (87 nucleotides) under Candidatus Palibaumannia cicadellinicola. RNAcentral describes it as "tRNA-Ser (GGA) (tRNA-Ser-GGA-1-1)". It matches the Rfam family "tRNA". Rfam says of the family: Transfer RNA (tRNA) molecules are approximately 80 nucleotides in length. Their secondary structure includes four short double-helical elements and three loops (D, anti-codon, and T loops). The record is from RNAcentral. Lineage: Bacteria; Pseudomonadati; Pseudomonadota; Gammaproteobacteria.